This 468-nucleotide ribosomal RNA is filed under the name uncultured bacterium. Its description in RNAcentral is "partial 16S ribosomal RNA". It matches the Rfam family "Bacterial small subunit ribosomal RNA", at positions 28 to 507 of the family's 1533-position model. The record is from RNAcentral.
GACGAACGCUGGCGGCGUGCUUAACACAUGCAAGUCGAACGGAAAGGCCCUGCUUUUGUGGGGUGCUCGAGUGGCGAACGGGUGAGUAACACGUGAGUAACCUGCCCUUGACUUUGGGAUAACUUCAGGAAACUGGGGCUAAUACCGGAUAGGAGCUCCUGCUGCAUGGUGGGGGUUGGAAAGUUUCGGCGGUUGGGGAUGGACUCGCGGCUUAUCAGCUUGUUGGUGGGGUAGUGGCUUACCAAGGCUUUGACGGGUAGCCGGCCUGAGAGGGUGACCGGCCACAUUGGGUCUGAGAUACGGCCCAGACUCCUACGGGAGGCAGCAGUGGGGAAUAUUGCACAAUGGGCGGAAGCCUGAUGCAGCAACGCCGCGUGCGGGAUGACGGCCUUCGGGUUGUAAACCGCUUUCGCCUGUGACGAAGCGUGAGUGACGGUAAUGGGUAAUGAAGCACCGGCUAACUACGUG